RNAcentral lists this transfer RNA (70 nucleotides) under Setora sinensis. RNAcentral describes it as "tRNA-Ile". The record is from RNAcentral. Lineage: Eukaryota; Metazoa; Arthropoda; Insecta; Lepidoptera; Limacodidae.
AAUAAAGUGCCUGAUUAAAGGAUUAUUCUGAUAGGAUAAAUUAAAUAGUAUUAAUUUACUAUCUUUAUUA